UGGUAGAGGCUUUGGUGGAGGUUCCAGGGGCUGUGGGGAGUGGCUUUGGCGGUGGUGCUGAAGGCGGAGAUGGGGGCCUCUUGUUUGCUGAUGAGAAGACCGCCGUGCAGGAACUUAAUAGCCGGCUGGCCCCCUACUUGCCUAAGGUGCAGACACUAGAGGAGGCCAAUGCCGACCUUUAGAGUAAGAUCUGGGACUGGUACAACAGGCAGGGGCCCGUCCAAAAGGAUUACGCUUGUUAUUAUGACCCCAUCCGGGAUCUCAAGAACCAGUUCCGUGGGUGCCCCCCUUGCCUGGUCGAUGGUCUAAAUUUUACAUGAGAGAAUUGGCAAGACUAUGAUUUCAACUGAUGCUGUGGUUUGGCAACUUGGAGAAGUCCCCCGCUCUCUGCAACUAGAGAACGUCCACACACAGCAACAAAGACCCAUCUCAGCCAAAAUUAAAUAAAUAAAUUUAUUUAAAAAAAAAAAAAGAAGAUGGGUGACUUCCCACACGCGGAUUCUUUCCCAGGACCUCAGAUUCCCUGCCUAAGGCCCUGGCUCAGUGCUGGCCAAUGGGAGGUGUGGGUAACUGAGCCGAUAGUGCAGGAAUGAGGGUAACAGCUGGAUGGUCUCCAAGAAUCCUCUUGGCUCCAGCAUCUGUUACUCCAACACUCAUAAGCCCCGAGUGCCUUGAUCUCCCUGCGUUUCCCUCCCCUUCGAGUCUCUGCUACAUGUCGAGGCUGCUGCUGGCCCUCUUGGCCUCGGGGCCCUGAGGCUCUCUCUCUGUCUCAGGCCCAAACAGGAAGAUAAUCAGCUCCCUUCUCUGUAACUCUUACUAGACUGAGAACCACUGGGACUGUCGGAGCGGGUUCCUGUGAAACCGAAAAUAAAGUUCAAGGGGACAAGCCACCAGCAUCAGCAACAAAUAAAACCCAGCAGCGACAGUACGGUGUGAGGUUAAAAGAUGGAAGGCCAGUGUUCUGGGCAGGGGCAACUGUCAAGGCCUGGAGGUGACACUGAGUGGGGCCUAAUGGAGGAACUGGAACCCGCUUCCUGGGGCUGCCCUGUGUGGGGGACAAAGCCCUAUUGGCCAAGAAGUGCGACCAUCUUUGGUCCGGAUGCAAUCCUCCUAGUAGAGAAUGAGUCUGGCAAGAAGACACAUGGUCUCCAAUCUGGUCGGAAGCUGCACUAGAGUUGGGAAGCAUCAUUUAUCAAACUCCCAGCACUUGCUUUCUCUGAGUAAACACCAUGGCUGAGUUGUAUCCACAGCUUUGGCUUCAAUAGCUCCCUGUGUGUGUGUGCCCAUGACACUUAUCACUGGUGAGGACCCUGCCCCCCAGCUUACAACUGUGCUUGAGUUGGGUCCCUUCCUCUCUCCAAAGUUAUGCUCCAUGGGUAA
Molecule: long non-coding RNA, 1380 nt
Organism: Aethalodelphis obliquidens (Pacific white-sided dolphin)
Lineage: Eukaryota; Metazoa; Chordata; Mammalia; Artiodactyla; Delphinidae
Exons: 4
Source: RefSeq, a predicted model, not a curated record